GAUGAACGCUGGCGGCGUGCUUAACACAUGCAAGUCGAACGGAAAGGCCCAAGCUUGCUUGGGUACUCGAGUGGCGAACGGGUGAGUAACACGUGGGUGAUCUGCCCUGCACUUCGGGAUAAGCCUGGGAAACUGGGUCUAAUACCGGAUAGGACGAUGGUUUGGAUGCCAUUGUGGAAAGUUUUUUCGGUGUGGGAUGAGCUCGCGGCCUAUCAGCUUGUUGGUGGGGUAAUGGCCUACCAAGGCGUCGACGGGUAGCCGGCCUGAGAGGGGGUACGGCCACAUUGGGACUGAGAUACGGCCCAGACUCCUACGGGAGGCAGCAGUGGGGAAUAUUGCACAAUGGGCGCAAGCCUGAUGCAGCGACGCCGCGUGGGGGAUGACGGCCUUCGGGUUGUAAACUCCUUUCGCUAGGGACGAAGCGUUUUUGUGACGGUACCUGGAGAAGAAGCACCGGCUAACUACGUG
This 468-nucleotide ribosomal RNA is filed under the name uncultured bacterium. Its description in RNAcentral is "partial 16S ribosomal RNA". It matches the Rfam family "Bacterial small subunit ribosomal RNA", at positions 28 to 507 of the family's 1533-position model. The record is from RNAcentral.